RNAcentral lists this ribosomal RNA (453 nucleotides) under uncultured bacterium. Its description in RNAcentral is "bacterial SSU rRNA". It matches the Rfam family "Bacterial small subunit ribosomal RNA", at positions 340 to 786 of the family's 1533-position model. The record is from RNAcentral.
UACGGGAGGCAGUAGUGGGGAAUAUUGCACAAUGGGCGCAAGCCUGAUGCAGCCAUGCCGCGUGUAUGAAGAAGGCCUUCGGGUUGUAAAGUACUUUCAGUCGUGAGGAAGGUGUUAAGGUUAAUAACCUUAGCAAUUGACGUUAGCGACAGAAGAAGCACCGGCUAACUCCGUGCCAGCAGCCGCGGUAAUACGGAGGGUGCGAGCGUUAAUCGGAAUUACUGGGCGUAAAGGGCACGCAGGCGGUUAAUUAAGUUGGAUGUGAAAUCCCCGGGCUUAACCUGGGAAUGGCAUUCAAGACUGGUUAGCUAGAGUCUUGUAGAGGGGGUAGAAUUCCAUGUGUAGCGGUGAAAUGCGUAGAGAUGUGGAGGAAUACCGGUGGCGAAGGCGGCCCCUGGACAAAGACUGACGCUCAUGUGCGAAAGCGUGGGGAGCAAACAGGGAUUAGAUACC